UCCGGCCGCCAUGGCCGCGGGAUUCCUACCAUGGUGGUAACGGGUGACGGAGGAUUAGGGUUCGAUUCCGGAGAGGGAGCCUGAGAAACGGCUACCACAUCCAAGGAAGGCAGCAGGCGCGCAAAUUACCCAAUCCCGACACGGGGAGGUAGUGACAAUAAAUAACAAUACGGGGCUCUUUCGGGUCUCGUAAUUGGAAUGAGUACAAUUUAAAUCCCUUAACGAGGAACAAUUGGAGGGCAAGUCUGGUGCCAGCAGCCGCGGUAAUUCCAGCUCCAAUAGCGUAUAUUAAAGUUGUUGCAGUUAAAAAGCUCGUAGUUGAAUUUUGGGACCAAUAUGUCGGUCGUGCCUCGGUACGCACUGGCUUAUUGGUUUCUCCUUUCUGAAGAACCAUGAUGUCAUUCAUCUGGUGUCGUGGGGAAUCAGGACUGUUACUUUGAAAAAAUUAGAGUGUUUAAAGCAGGCUCACGCUUGAAUACAUUAGCAUGGAAUAAUGAAAUAGGACGUUUGAUUCUAUUUUGUUGGUUUCUAGGAUCGACGUAAUGAUUAAUAGGGAUAGUUGGGGGCAUUAGUAUUCAAUUGUCAGAGGUGAAAUUCUUGGAUUUAUUGAAGACUAACUACUGCGAAAGCAUUUGCCAAGGAUGUUUUCAUUAAUCAAGAACGAAAGUUAGGGGAUCGAAGACGAUCAGAUACCGUCGUAGUCUUAACCAUAAACUAUGCCGACUAGGGAUCGGAUGAUGUUAAUUUUUUAAUGACUCAUCCGGCGCCUUACGGGAAACCAAAGUGUUUGGGUUC
Molecule: ribosomal RNA, 795 nt
Filed under: uncultured Glomus
Lineage: Eukaryota; Fungi; Glomeromycota; Glomeromycetes; Glomerales; Glomeraceae
Description: SSU rRNA
Rfam family: Eukaryotic small subunit ribosomal RNA
Source: RNAcentral